CCUACGGGCGGCAGCAGUGAGGAAUAUUGGUCAAUGGCCGGAAGUCUGAACCAGCCAAGCCGCGUGAAGGACGAAUGUGCCAAGCGUUGUAAACUUCUUUUAUCAGGGGACAAAGUCCAGCUCGAAAGCCUUACCGAGUGUACUUGAAGAACAAGCAUCGGCUAACUCCGUGCCAGCAGCCGCGGUAAUACGGGGGAUGCGAGCGUUAUCCGGAUUUAUUGGGUUUAAAGGGAGCGUAGGCGGACGGUUAAGUCAGGUGUGAAAGCCCGGGGCUCAACCCCGGGAGAGCCGUUGAAACUGGCUGUCUUGAGAGGACGAGAGGUAUGCGGAAUGCGCAGUGUAGCGGUGAAAUGCUUAGAUAUCGCGCAGAACUCCGAUUGCGAAGGCAGCAUACUGG
This 397-nucleotide ribosomal RNA is filed under the name uncultured bacterium. RNAcentral describes it as "partial 16S ribosomal RNA". It matches the Rfam family "Bacterial small subunit ribosomal RNA", at positions 338 to 732 of the family's 1533-position model. The record is from RNAcentral.